UACGUAGGGCGCAAGCGUUGUCCGGAAUUAUUGGGCGUAAAGAGCUCGUAGGCGGUUUGUCGCGUCUGUCGUGAAAGCUUGGGGCUUAACCCCAAGUCUGCGGUGGAUACGGGCAGACUAGAGGCAGGUAGGGGAGAACGGAAUUCCCGGUGUAGCGGUGAAAUGCGCAGAUAUCGGGAGGAACACCUGUGGCGAAAGCGGCUCUCUGGACCACAACUGACGCUGAGGCGCGAAAGCUAGGGGAGCAAACAGG
RNAcentral lists this ribosomal RNA (253 nucleotides) under uncultured bacterium. RNAcentral's name for it is "partial 16S ribosomal RNA". It matches the Rfam family "Bacterial small subunit ribosomal RNA", at positions 524 to 776 of the family's 1533-position model. The record is from RNAcentral.